Long non-coding RNA from Culex quinquefasciatus (southern house mosquito), 1029 nucleotides. RefSeq lists it as uncharacterized. The record is from RefSeq and is a predicted model, not a curated record. The transcript has 3 exons. Lineage: Eukaryota; Metazoa; Arthropoda; Insecta; Diptera; Culicidae.
AAUAAUGAAAAUUACAUCCGACGUAAUUGCUAAACUUAUGUAAAAUAGAAGCAUGGAAACAAAAAUGAAACGUAAAAUUAUGUGUUCUCAGUCGCAAACUGAUAAAUUUCUUGUUCGACAAAUAAAACUCAAUAUUACAUCUGCGAAGAUUUAAAAUUCCAUUUUGUUUGAUGCACAUAACUGGAGCGUGCUUUUUGACGUAAUUUUGCGGCAAAUCAGACUCAAUUUUAAGUGCAUUUACGUUUUUCGCUUGACCGUGCACUGUGCAGUGAGAAGGCGGCCAUGUUUGAAUCCACAAAGAAAGAUGCGUUUGAACGAAAAGGUUUAGUUCCGCGAAACUUGUCCGGAAAAAUAAAAAAUCCAUUGCCAAAUAUUGGUAGAGCAUUGAAAAGUACAUCAUAAAGAUGUUUAAGUUUCCAUUGUUAAGAUUAUUCUGCCACCCAAUCCAGGACCGCAACUCUAGGUUCCUGCAGGCCAUGGCUAUGGCCAUUCCCGUUCUCAUUUUGGAAAGACAACGAAGUUCUUGGUCCCAUAGAAGGGGAUUUUGACGAAGUUCCGGAGCGACGUUCCGGUGACCAGAGGCAGAUUCCACCAGUCUUUUUCGGAAUACCUCGCUGUGGAAUCGAUUCCAGCUUUAUUUUUUAAAGCAAGCUUCUCCUGGCCUGGCCCCUGCCGGAACUGUUUCAGUAAGGAUAGCUUGAUUCGAUUGUCGGCAACUGACCAGAUCCGGAGUGCAGAUUGUCCACACACAAGAGCCUUGGCCACACAGAUCUUGUAGUAGAAGGAGAACGGUUUCGUGCCCCGUGCCAGUUUCGAACAGUUUGAGGCCGCCAGCUGAUGAACGGUUCGGAGGACGGGACGGAACAUGGACGGAUUAAUUUGGCGAAAACAGUCCUUCUGAAUGAAACAGAAAAAGUGACGUAGUUACGUUAUUGUCAGUUCUAGUGCAUGUUUCAUGAAAACCAUAGUGUAAUGUGUUAAUGAGCAUGAAAUAAAGAAAUAUUUAUUUAAAAACUUUUGUAGGGGAAG